Pteropus vampyrus (large flying fox) is the source of this 119-nucleotide ribosomal RNA. NCBI's taxonomy places the organism in Eukaryota, Metazoa, Chordata, Mammalia, Chiroptera, Pteropodidae. The record is from Ensembl.
GUCCACGGCCAUGCUAACCUGAACAGGCAGGAUCCUGUCUGAUCCUGGAAGUUAAGUAGGAUUGGGCCUGGCUAGCACUUGGAUGGGAGACCACCUAGGAAGACCAGGUGCUAUAGGCA